Molecule: transfer RNA, 84 nt
Filed under: Thermoleophilaceae bacterium
Lineage: Bacteria; Bacillati; Actinomycetota; Thermoleophilia; Thermoleophilales; Thermoleophilaceae
Description: tRNA-Leu
Rfam family: tRNA
About the family: Transfer RNA (tRNA) molecules are approximately 80 nucleotides in length. Their secondary structure includes four short double-helical elements and three loops (D, anti-codon, and T loops).
Source: RNAcentral
GCCCGGAUGGCGGAAUUGGCAUACGCGGCUGACUUAAAAUCAGCUGCCCGAAAGGGCUUGUGGGUUCGAGUCCCACUCCGGGCA